AUAAAUAGGUAAUAACAAAAAAAUUUACCUCACUAAUUUCAGAAAUACAAAAAUGGAUUCACAAUCAGAAGUGCAAAAAGUAGGUAAGUGUUCUGGAUAUCUUCUGUUUGCCCCUCCAGAUUCGCUACCCACUGGUUUCUACUUUGCUGUCUGCUCUGGUAAGUAACCCAUUUGGACUACAUCAAGACGGACCCAGCUCCUACGGCUUUUAAUGUUCCUUGUGACUUGGGAAAUUCACCCAUCAUUCCUCUCACCAACCAAAGGAUGUCAAAUAAAUGACCCAAACAUUCUCUGGCUGGAGCCUUCAGUAAAUCCCUGUGGAAGAAAGUCUGGAGAUCUGCCUCUCUUAUCCGUAUUGCCAUGCCAAGGACAAGGAUAUCCUGGAAGAAAAGCUGGAAAAAACAAGGGCAUUUAUACUCUGGGAUUGUGAAAAUGAUUAGACUCCCUGAAUCCUGUAUAUAACAACUGUGUCUGUUGUUGCUAGCCUUUCAACAGAACUGUGCCAGAAUCCAUUU
Leopardus geoffroyi (Geoffroy's cat) is the source of this 515-nucleotide long non-coding RNA. RefSeq lists it as uncharacterized. The record is from RefSeq and is a predicted model, not a curated record. Lineage: Eukaryota; Metazoa; Chordata; Mammalia; Carnivora; Felidae. The transcript has 3 exons.